Molecule: non-coding RNA, 92 nt
Organism: Canis lupus familiaris (dog)
Lineage: Eukaryota; Metazoa; Chordata; Mammalia; Carnivora; Canidae
Source: Rfam
GGGGGUAGGGCCGGAUCUUGGGCUGUGUCCCCAGCGCCCUGUGCUCUGGGGCCUGCGCUGUUGGAAUCGCGCUCCCGGCUGCGCAGCCCCCU